GACGAACGCUGGCGGCGUGCUUAACACAUGCAAGUCGAGCGGUAAGGCCCUUUCGGGGGUACACGAGCGGCGAACGGGUGAGUAACACGUGGGUGACCUGCCCUCAGCUCUGGGAUAAGCCUGGGAAACCGGGUCUAAUACCGGAUAUGACUCCAUGACGCAUGUUGUGGGGUGGAAAGCCUUGUGCGGCUGAGGAUGGGCCCGCGGCCUAUCAGCUUGUUGGUGGGGUGANGGCCUACCAAGGCGACGACGGGUAGCCGGCCUGAGAGGGCGACCGGCCACACUGGGACUGAGACGCGGCCCAGACUCCUACGGGAGGCAGCAGUGGGGAAUCUUGCGCAAUGGGCGAAAGCCUGACGCAGCGACGCCGCGUGAGGGAUGACGGCCUCGG
This 391-nucleotide ribosomal RNA is filed under the name uncultured bacterium. Its description in RNAcentral is "bacterial SSU rRNA". It matches the Rfam family "Bacterial small subunit ribosomal RNA", at positions 28 to 420 of the family's 1533-position model. The record is from RNAcentral.